Molecule: ribosomal RNA, 519 nt
Filed under: uncultured eukaryote
Lineage: Eukaryota
Description: bacterial SSU rRNA
Rfam family: Eukaryotic small subunit ribosomal RNA
Source: RNAcentral
AGGGCACCACCAGGAGUGGAGCCUGCGGCUUAAUUUGACUCAACACGGGAAAACUCACCCGGCCCGGACACUGGAAGGAUUGACAGAUUGAGAGCUCUUUCUUGAUUCGGUGGGUGGUGGUGCAUGGCCGUUCUUAGUUGGUGGAGCGAUUUGUCUGGUUAAUUCCGAUAACGAACGAGACUCUGGCCUACUAACUAGACGUUGGAUCCCUUUGUGGGUCCAUCACUUCUUCAGGGACAGGCGGCGGUCAUCCGCACCAAACAAAGCAAUAACAGGUCUGUGAUGCCCUUAUAUGACCGGGGGCGCCCCCGCGCUACAAUGAAGUGAUGAUCGUGCAUUCUCCUCCUACUCUGCCGACAAGGGGAAACCACCUGAACCACCUUCUUCAUGGGGAGAAGAGAUUAUUAUUAUUCUCCUCGUAGAAGGAAUUCCUCCCAAGCAGCAGUAGUCAUCUCCUCUUGAUGACUUCCUUGCCGCCUUUACACACACGCCGGUCGCUACUACUAAUUAUUGAUUUUA